UCACGGUUUGCACCGGCAGUCUUGUUAGAGUUCCCGACAUUACUCGCUGGCAACUAACAACAGGGGUUGCGCUCGUUAUAGGACUUAACCUGACACCUCACGGCACGAGCUGACGACAACCAUGCAGCACCUUGUAAUCUGCCCGAAGGAAAAUCUGUUUCCAGACCUGUCAGACUACAUUUAAGCCCUGGUAAGGUUCUGCGCGUUGCUUCGAGUUAAACCACAUGCUCCACCGCUUGUGCGGGCCCCCGUCAAUUCCUUUGAGUUUCACCGUUGCCGGCGUACUCCCCAGGUGGGAUGCUUAAUGCUUUCGCUUGGCCGCUGACCUAUUCAGACCAACAGCGGGCAUCCAUCGUUUACCGUGCGGACUAC
RNAcentral lists this unclassified non-coding RNA (372 nucleotides) under uncultured Flavobacteriales bacterium. Its description in RNAcentral is "contains 16S-23S intergenic spacer region". Lineage: Bacteria; Pseudomonadati; Bacteroidota; Flavobacteriia; Flavobacteriales. The record is from RNAcentral.